RNAcentral lists this transfer RNA (85 nucleotides) under Felis catus (domestic cat). It matches the Rfam family "tRNA". Rfam says of the family: Transfer RNA (tRNA) molecules are approximately 80 nucleotides in length. Lineage: Eukaryota; Metazoa; Chordata; Mammalia; Carnivora; Felidae. The record is from Rfam by way of RNAcentral.
GCCUGGUUGGCUCAGUCGGUUAAGCAUCUGACUUUGGCUCAGGUCAUGAUCUCGCGGUUUGUGAGUUCGAGCCCCGCGUCGGGCU